CCUACGGGGGGCAGCAGUGAGGAAUAUUGGUCAAUGGGCGAGAGCCUGAACCAGCCAAGUCGCGUGAGGGAGUACUGCCCUAUGGGUUGUAAACCUCUUUUGUCGGGGAGCAAAAGCCGGACGUGUCCGGCUGUGAGAGUACCCGAAGAAAAAGCAUCGGCUAACUCCGUGCCAGCAGCCGCGGUAAUACGGAGGAUGCGAGCAUUAUCCGGAUUUAUUGGGUUUAAAGGGUGCGCAGGCGGAUUUUUAAGUCAGCGGUAAAAUCGUGGGGCUCAACCCCAUCCAGCCGUUGAAACUGGGGAUCUAGAGUGUGCGAGAGGUAUGCGGAAUGCGUGGUGUAGCGGUGAAAUGCAUAGAUAUCACGCAGAACCCCGAUUGCGAAGGCAGCAUACCGGUGCACAACUGACGCUCAGGCACGAAAGCGUGGGUAUCGAACAGGAUUAGAUACCCUGGUAGUC
Molecule: ribosomal RNA, 458 nt
Filed under: uncultured bacterium
Lineage: Bacteria
Description: partial 16S ribosomal RNA
Rfam family: Bacterial small subunit ribosomal RNA
Source: RNAcentral